This 1346-nucleotide ribosomal RNA is filed under the name uncultured bacterium. RNAcentral's name for it is "bacterial SSU rRNA". It matches the Rfam family "Bacterial small subunit ribosomal RNA", at positions 28 to 1381 of the family's 1533-position model. The record is from RNAcentral.
GACGAACGCUGGCGGCGUGCUUAACACAUGCAAGUCGAACGAUGAAGCCUAGCUUGCUAGGUGGAUUAGUGGCGAACGGGUGAGUAAUACGUGAGUGACCUACCUUUGACUCUGGGAUAAGCCUGGGAAACUGGGUCUAAUACCGGAUAUGACCAAUCUCCGCAUGGGGUGUUGGUGGAAAGCGUUAUGGAGUGGUUUUAGAUGGGCUCACGGCCUAUCAGCUUGUUGGUGAGGUAAUGGCUUACCAAGGCGACGACGGGUAGCCGGCCUGAGAGGGUGACCGGCCACACUGGGACUGAGACACGGCCCAGACUCCUACGGGAGGCAGCAGUGGGGAAUAUUGCACAAUGGGCGCAAGCCUGAUGCAGCGACGCCGCGUGAGGGAUGACGGCCUUCGGGUUGUAAACCUCUGUUAGCAUCGAAGAAGCGAAAGUGACGGUAGGUGCAGAGAAAGCGCCGGCUAACUACGUGCCAGCAGCCGCGGUAAUACGUAGGGCGCGAGCGUUGUCCGGAAUUAUUGGGCGUAAAGAGCUUGUAGGCGGUUGGUCGCGUCUGCUGUGAAGGCUGGGGCUUAACCCUGGUUUUGCAGUGGGUACGGGCUAACUAGAGUGCAGUAGGGGAGACUGGAAUUCCUGGUGUAGCGGUGGAAUGCGCAGAUAUCAGGAGGAACACCGAUGGCGAAGGCAGGUCUCUGGGCUGUAACUGACGCUGAGAAGCGAAAGCAUGGGGAGCGAACAGGAUUAGAUACCCUGGUAGUCCAUGCCGUAAACGUUGGGCACUAGGUGUGGGGGACAUUCCACGUUUUCCGCGCCGUAGCUAACGCAUUAAGUGCCCCGCCUGGGGAGUACGGCCGCAAGGCUAAAACUCAAAGAAAUUGACGGGGGCCCGCACAAGCGGCGGAGCAUGCGGAUUAAUUCGAUGCAACGCGAAGAACCUUACCAAGGCUUGACAUAUACUGGACUGCGUCAGAGAUGGCGUUUCCCUUCGGGGCUGGUAUACAGGUGGUGCAUGGUUGUCGUCAGCUCGUGUCGUGAGAUGUUGGGUUAAGUCCCGCAACGAGCGCAACCCUCGUUCUAUGUUGCCAGCACGUGAUGGUGGGGACUCAUAGGAGACUGCCGGGGUUAACUCGGAGGAAGGUGGGGAUGACGUCAAAUCAUCAUGCCCCUUAUGUCUUGGGCUUCACGCAUGCUACAAUGGCCGGUACAGAGGGUUGCGAUACUGUGAGGUGGAGCUAAUCCCUAAAAGCCGGUCUCAGUUCGGAUUGGGGUCUGCAACUCGACCCCAUGAAGUCGGAGUCGCUAGUAAUCGCAGAUCAGCAACGCUGCGGUGAAUACGUUCCCGGGCCU